CAGUCGCCACGGGAAUACGAAGGGGGCUAGCGUUGCUCGGAAUGACUGGGCGUAAAGGGCGCGUAGGCGGCGAUCAAAGUCAGGCGUGAAAUUCCUGGGCUCAACCUGGGGGCUGCGCUUGAUACUUGGUUGCUUGAGUGGGGAAGAGGGUCGUGGAAUUCCCAGUGUAGAGGUGAAAUUCGUAGAUAUUGGGAAGAACACCGGUGGCGAAGGCGGCGACCUGGUCCAUUACUGACGCUGAGGCGCGAAAGCGUGGGGAGCAAACAGGAUUAGAUACCCCCGUAGUCCCUGUCUCUUAUAA
RNAcentral lists this ribosomal RNA (301 nucleotides) under uncultured bacterium. RNAcentral's name for it is "partial 16S ribosomal RNA". It matches the Rfam family "Bacterial small subunit ribosomal RNA", at positions 509 to 809 of the family's 1533-position model. The record is from RNAcentral.